GUUGUCGUGGCCGAGUGGUUAAGGCGAUGGAACAGAAAUAUUUUGGAUCUUCUCGCGCAGGUUCGAAUCCUGCCGACAUCG
RNAcentral lists this transfer RNA (81 nucleotides) under Dreissena polymorpha. It matches the Rfam family "tRNA". From Rfam's summary of the family: Transfer RNA (tRNA) molecules are approximately 80 nucleotides in length. Their secondary structure includes four short double-helical elements and three loops (D, anti-codon, and T loops). Further hydrogen bonds mediate the characteristic L-shaped molecular structure. tRNAs have two regions of fundamental functional importance: the anti-codon, which is responsible for specific mRNA codon recognition, and the 3' end, to which the tRNAs corresponding amino acid is attached (by aminoacyl-tRNA synthetases). tRNAs cope with the degeneracy of the genetic code in two manners: having more than one tRNA (with a specific anti-codon) for a particular amino acid; and 'wobble' base-pairing, i.e. permitting non-standard base-pairing at the 3rd anti-codon position. The record is from Rfam by way of RNAcentral. Lineage: Eukaryota; Metazoa; Mollusca; Bivalvia; Myida; Dreissenidae.